CACCGGCGCCACGAGUGGUCAUCACGAUUAUUGGGCCUAAAGCGUCCGUAGCUGGUGCGGUGCAUCCCUUGUGAAAUCGUUCGGCUUAACCGAACGGCGCGCAGGGGACACGGCCGCGCUCGAGACCGGGAGGGGGCAGAAGUAUUCCAUAGGGACCGGUAAAAUGGGAUAAUCUAUGGAGGACUACCGAUGGCGAAGGCAUCUGCCCAGAACGGAUCUGACAGUGAGGGACGAAAGCCAGGGGAGCGAACCGG
RNAcentral lists this ribosomal RNA (254 nucleotides) under uncultured bacterium. RNAcentral describes it as "partial 16S ribosomal RNA". It matches the Rfam family "Archaeal small subunit ribosomal RNA", at positions 474 to 727 of the family's 1478-position model. The record is from RNAcentral.